UACGGGGGGGGCAAGCGUUGUUCGGAAUUACUGGGCGUAAAGGGCUCGUAGGUGGCCAACUAAGUCAGACGUGAAAUCCCUCGGCUUAACCGGGGAACUGCGUCUGAUACUGGAUGGCUUGAGUUUGGGAGAGGGAUGCGGAAUUCCAGGUGUAGCGGUGAAAUGCGUAGAUAUCUGGAGGAACACCGGUGGCGAAGGCGGCACCCUGGACCAACACUGACGCUGAUGAGCGAAAGCCAGGGGAGCAAACGGG
RNAcentral lists this ribosomal RNA (253 nucleotides) under uncultured bacterium. RNAcentral describes it as "partial 16S ribosomal RNA". It matches the Rfam family "Bacterial small subunit ribosomal RNA", at positions 524 to 776 of the family's 1533-position model. The record is from RNAcentral.